CUUUACCACUGAACCUGAACCAUUGAGCUACCACUGCUUCAUGAAAAUUUGAAAUACUGUCUGUGCAGGUGCAUUUCCAGUGUGCAUAAUCUAACACAUUCGCAUUGUUGUACACAACAGGAAACAGUCUCGUUAACAUUUCAUACAGUCCUCUGCCACUUUAUUAGGAACACUUGUACACCUGCUCAUCUGUGCAGUUGACCAAUUAGCCAACCCCAUGGCUUCAGGUAAAGAAACUGGGCGGUUAAAGAUUAAAAGUAGAAGCGACAGCUUGUUGAAUCUUAUCGAAUGUCCAACCGAGUGUCCGGUUUUAGCGAGCAAGUGCUGACUGUAGCCUCAGAUUCCUGCAGCCAGGAGUGGAUCCCAGUGUGGUCUUCUGCCGUUCUAGCCUCCUCAGGGUCCGGCGCGUUGUACAUUCUGAGAUGCUUUUCCUGGUUGUAAAGAGUGGCGAUUUGAGUAAACACAGCGUUCUUGUCAGAUCAAACCAGUCUGGCCAUCGUCCUCUUAGCUCUCCUCGAGAAGCUGUCUUCUCCCACAGAACUCACUUAGAUGUGUUUAUUUGUUCGCUUUUAUGUAUUACAUGAAAAUCUCAGGAGAUCAGCAGGUUCUGAAAUACUCAAACCAGCCUUUCGGGCACUAGUAAGACAAAUGAAUGUUGUCCUCCUUAAGUUACUUUGGUAAGGUUAUUAGGCGAUGAAGGGUGUGGGCGCUCGCUUGUGUGGUGUUCAUCUUUUCUGUCCUUCACCUACUCUCACUCUCUCCUUGGUUGGUUUUCUUUUUUUUUCCUUUUCUUUCAACGGCCCUUCUCUCAUCCGCCCCGAUCCCCAAACAGCUCCUUAAAUAGUAAUUAUUUAUGAUUGAGGCUUUGAGGUAGAAAAACAUUGAGGUGGAUUGUUUGAACAGGCUUUUAGAAACUGCAUGACUUCUCAGUGUGGAUGAUGGGUUUCUUUAUAUUUAUAUAUAUAUAUAUAUCGUUGUUGUCAUUUUGCUUUGGUGACCAGAAGGUCGGGAACAUGAAUCCGAGGUCGGAACCUCGAGCAGGACCCUUAUUAAACCCGCUGCGUGCAUCUACUGACUCUGAGAAAUGAAUCAGAAUAAAAUGACUCAUCGAGUUGUAAAACAAAGGCCGCCUUUAGAUUUUUAUUGUUUCCAACCAACCACAUGCACGCAGACGGCCUCGGAGCUAGACCGAUUGUGGGAAGGGCAUAAACGCGGCUCGGUGAAGCGGGGCGUCUGGGUAAAGGUCCUUAAAGCUGGGAGUUACGGCGUGAAGGAGAAACGGGAAUUCUGUACGGAGUCCAUGAACUAAGGUUUUCCAUUUUCCGUUUACUUUAUAGUGCAUACUACAUAGUGCAGUGAGUAUCACUUUAUAAUCACAAGUUUAAAUGCAGUGCUCCCUCUUUCGUGCUCCCCAGACCUUCUCUUCUUUCUUCACAUCUUCCUGCCAUCUCGAACUCUCCUCCUCUGCCCCUCCCCGAGGCCUUGGAUUGGGCAGGUGGAAGCUAAAGCUGGAAUGCUGGGGAAUGCAGUCAGUCCCACUCAGCAUGCACGUGCAUGACCUACAGAUCACAUCCCACUACUCGCAUGGCAAGCUGAUAUAGAAGAAGCGUGAGAUGAGCUAAGACUGGGACAGGAAUAGAGAGCAAGAUGCUGAGUGUUCCGUGGACUGGGGAGUAUUCACACACACACACACACACCACUAGAGGUGAAGGCCAGCAUCUGUGCUGCUAAGGAGGGGCAGGUCAGAGGUCAAGCUGAGUGUUUACUUUGGGUUUUGCAGCUCCUGGCUGGUGUGUGAGCAGACCAAGCAGCGAUGAUUUCCAGUAAACACGGAACUGCUUGUCUGACAGGUUCAGCACGCGGUUAUCUGAUUUAACCUGCUGAAUUUCAUUCCUACAUUCGUAAUAAAAGGCACAGAGGCCAAAGAGGCCACUCCUUCUUCAUUGGGUUCUGAUGGUCAUAAAGGCCACUCCUUCUUCAUUAGGUUCUGAUGGGCCCAAAGGCCACUCCUUCUUCAUUGGGUUCUGAUGGGCCCAAAGGCCACUCCUUCUUCACUGGGUUCUGAUGGGCACAAAGGCCACUCCUUCUUCAUUGGGUUCUGAUGGGCCCAAAGGCCACUCCUUCUUCAUUGGGUUCUGAUAGGCGCAAAGGCCACUCCUUCUUCAUUGGGGUCUGAUGGUCAUAAAGGCCACUCCUUCUUCAUUGGGUUCUGAUGGUCAUAAAGGCCACUCCUUCUUCAUUGGGUUCUGAUGGUCAUAAAGGCCACUCCUUCUUCAUUGGGUUCUGAUGGUCAUAAAGGCCACUCCUUCUUCAUUGUGUUCUGAUGGUCAUAAAGGCCACUCCUUCUUCUUUGGGGUCUGAUGGGCCCAAAGGCCACUCCUUCUUCAUUGGGGUCUGAUGGCCCAAAGGCCACUCCUUCUUCAUUGGGUUCUGAUGGUCAUAAAGGCCACUCCUUCUUCACUGGGUUCUGAUGGGCAUAAAGGGCACUCCUUCUUCAUUGGGGUCUGAUGGGCCCAAAGGCCACUCCUUCUUCAUUGGGUUCUGAUGGGUACAAAGGCCACUCCUUCUUCACUGGGUUCUGAUGGGCACAAAGGCCACUCCUUCUAUAUUGGGUUCUGAUGGUCAUAAAGGCCACUCCUUCUUCAACUGGAAUGACAUGCACAGGAUUACACUGUCUUCCUGUUUAGAAAUGACAAUCACCGAAGCCACACCUCUUUUAAUGAGUGGCACAGGGACGGAAAUAAGUUAUUAAUAAAAUAUGAGUAAUGAAAUGACUUUAGCAGUAGAUGCCGUCCCAGCUUCAGUCUGAUAUAAUCACUGUUGUCUGUCAUCCUGACACGACACCGAUUCAAACUGCUGAAUCGUUCCACCCUGUUUUCCUUUCUCCUCAUGCUGUUUACUCUUAGUAUUUUUGGGCAAGUGUCACUUUUCUCUGCAUCUAUAUAAACCCUUGAAUUUAGCGACUGACCACAUAGAAGCGAACAAACACCUUAAUUAUACACCUCCCUCAUGGAAUCCCUCCACCACACACAAAUCUCACACGCUGCUUCCUCACAUAUUAUUAUGUCUUCGCGGCAGCCACUUUCACUACCCGUUUUACACGGCAGUUUUCCAUGCACGCAAACACGCCGGCAAAUAAAUCUCACUUGUAAAGUGUCAGGUCAUAAAGAUCGGUCAAAAUAAACGAUCCCCUCGAGCAGUCUUGUUCCGUCUCUGUUUUUUUGUUUUUUUUAAAGCCUUAAUUGAAAUAGUAGCUGGGUGUGGGAGCGGCAGGCUUCGGGAUUUCUUCCUGCAACACUGAAGCCUCAGAAUCUUUGUUAUAAGUGACGUUGCAGCCUGAAAAUACACUGUGUUGUAAGUGUUAUAUAUGAUAAAUGUUAUAUGUGUGUGUGUGUGUGUGUGUGUGUAUGUAUGUGUAUAUAUAUAU
Molecule: long non-coding RNA, 3427 nt
Organism: Ictalurus punctatus (channel catfish)
Lineage: Eukaryota; Metazoa; Chordata; Actinopteri; Siluriformes; Ictaluridae
Source: Ensembl